This 141-nucleotide non-coding RNA is filed under the name uncultured Tetragenococcus sp. The record is from RNAcentral. Lineage: Bacteria; Bacillati; Bacillota; Bacilli; Lactobacillales; Enterococcaceae.
AAAAGACGAUGGCAAAACCGCACACUGACGAACAAAAACUUUAUACAAGAUUGAACGGGGACAGAUGAGGUUGACAAACACAGUAAAGGUCAAUACUGUACGAGUCUUACACAGUAAAUGAGAAAGUGACAUGAGUGGAAA